UAAAUGCGAUAAGUAAUGCGAAUUGCAGAAUUCAGUGAAUCAUCGAAUCUUUGAACGCACAUUGCGCCCCUUGGUAUUCCAUGGGGCAUGCCUGUUCGAGCGUCAUUUGUACCCUCAAGCUCUGCUUGGUGUUGGGUGUUUGUCCCCGUCUCCGCGCGUGGACUCGCCCCAAAGUGAUUGGCAGCCGGCGUACUGGUCCCGGAGCGCAGCACAUGUCGCGCAAACGAGUGCCUUGGUACGGCGGCGUCCAUAAGCCCCUCUCUCACGCUCUUGACCUCGGAUCAGGUAGGGAUACCCGCUGAACUUAAGC
This 310-nucleotide unclassified non-coding RNA is filed under the name plant metagenome. RNAcentral's name for it is "partial contains 5.8S ribosomal RNA, internal transcribed spacer 2, and large subunit ribosomal RNA". The stretch from base 1 to 105 matches the Rfam family "5.8S ribosomal RNA", at positions 50 to 154 of the family's 154-position model. The record is from RNAcentral.